RNA transcript from Rhea pennata, 3631 nucleotides. It is a transcript of the gene named RB binding protein 5, histone lysine methyltransferase complex subunit, with no coding region annotated. Lineage: Eukaryota; Metazoa; Chordata; Aves; Rheiformes; Rheidae. The transcript is spliced from 15 exons. The record is from RefSeq and is a predicted model, not a curated record.
AGCCGACAGGGACGCAGGGAGCGGGACGGCGGCCGCGAUGAACCUGGAGCUGCUCGAGUCCUUCGGCCAGAACUACCCCGAGGAGGCCGAUGGCACCUUGGACUGCAUCAGCAUGGCCCUGACGUGCACCUUCAACCGCUGGGGCACCCUGCUCGCUGUGGGCUGCAACGAUGGGCGCAUCGUCAUCUGGGACUUCUUGACGAGGGGUAUAGCCAAAAUCAUCAGCGCGCAUAUUCACCCCGUCUGCUCUUUAUGCUGGAGUCGAGAUGGUCACAAAUUGGUGAGUGCUUCGACCGAUAACAUUGUAUCGCAGUGGGAUGUUCUCUCUGGAGACUGUGACCAGAGAUUUCGAUUUCCUUCGCCUAUCUUGAAAGUUCAGUACCACCCUCGAGACCAAAACAGAGUUUUGGUUUGUCCCAUGAAGUCUGCACCAGUGAUGUUAACACUGUCUGACUCCAAACAUGUUGUUCUACCUGUGGAUGAUGAUUCAGAUCUCAAUGUUGUGGCCUCCUUUGACAGACGAGGGGAAUACAUUUAUACAGGCAAUGCCAAGGGGAAGAUCUUGGUCUUAAAAACAGAUACUCAGGAUCUUGUUGCUUCCUUCAGAGUGACAACUGGAACCAGCAACACCACGGCUAUUAAAUCAAUUGAAUUUGCUCGGAAAGGAAGCUGCUUUUUGAUAAACACAGCUGACCGGAUAAUCAGAGUGUAUGAUGGGCGUGAAAUUUUAACCUGUGGACGAGAUGGGGAGCCUGAACCAAUGCAGAAACUACAGGAUUUAGUUAAUAGGACACCGUGGAAGAAGUGCUGUUUCUCUGGGGAUGGUGAGUACAUAGUGGCAGGUUCAGCACGACAGCAUGCCCUGUACAUUUGGGAAAAAAGUAUUGGAAACCUAGUGAAAAUCCUCCAUGGGACUAGAGGAGAGCUGCUUUUGGAUGUAGCAUGGCAUCCUGUCCGACCGAUCAUAGCAUCUAUUUCCAGUGGUGUAGUGUCUAUAUGGGCUCAGAAUCAAGUGGAAAACUGGAGUGCCUUUGCACCUGACUUCAAAGAGCUAGAUGAAAAUGUUGAGUAUGAAGAGAGGGAAUCAGAGUUUGACAUUGAAGAUGAAGAUAAGAGUGAACCAGAACAAACAGGUGCUGAUGCUGCAGAAGAUGAAGAAGUGGAUGUAACUAGUGUGGAUCCCAUUGCUGCCUUCUGUAGCAGUGAUGAAGAACUGGAGGACUCAAAGGCUUUGCUUUACUUGCCCAUUGCUCCUGAAGUGGAAGACCCAGAAGAAAACCCCUAUGGUCCUCCACCUGAUGCUGUUCAGAGUUCUUUAACUGAUGAGGGAAUAGGUUCUGAGAAGAAAAGGCAAUCCUCCUCUGAUGGACCUCAGGCACCAAAGAAGAAGCCCAAAACCACCAACAUUGAACUACAAGGAGUACCUAAUGAUGAAGUCCAUCCGCUGCUGGGUGUGAAGGGAGAUGGUAAAUCCAAGAAGAAGCAAGCAGGCAGGCCUAAAGGAUCAAAAGGUAAAGACAAAGAUUCUCCAUUUAAACCGAAACUCUACAAAGGGGACAGAGGUGCUUUACCUCUGGAAGGAGCAGCGAAGGGUAAAGUGCAGGCGGAGCUGGGACAGCCUUUGGCAGAAUCCAGAAAUUAAAACAGAUACUAGUCAAAAAGAUCUUCAAACCUUGUUCCAAGUCCAGGAGGUGUUGAUUACGUCUAGUGUCAGAUUUGCCAGACAGGCAGGUGGUGCAAUCUCAGAAUUGUUAUGAAGACACUCUUCUUUAUCUUCCUGUAUUCUUUCCUAUAUUGGCACCAUAAUGUGGGAAAAUAGAUGGAAGCACUCAGUCAGAAUGGACUGACUUUAAUACAGCAGCCUGAUUGUUCAUGGAUUCAGGGAGUGACUUUUAUAAGAAAUGAAUUAUAGAAGAGGAAACGGCCUUCAUUCCUUCUUAACUGCCUCUUCAUCGAACAGUGUAAGAUGCUGACUCUCAGGUCAUGUGAUUCGCAAAGAGACUAAUUGGACUGACUACCUUCAUGUUGACAUGUGUAACUCUUUCUAAAAUGAGCUGGUACCCAACACUGCCACUCCAGAGCUUCUCAACCAUUGACUUCUAAGCAUUUUUUGUUCCUGGAUGGAAGAAUACCCAAAGUGUGUUUUUAUUCCCGAUGCUGUAUGAUUGUAUAUCCUCCAAACUUCCAUUUCUUUGCUGUUAGUUUUCAUUUCAGUGAGUUGUAAUUGUGCUCCUUCUAUACCAGCUGCAUUACCUUAUCAGCUUUUCUGUUAGCUCAGUGUGAUGUCUGCUAUGCUGACAUGCCCAGUGAAACACUGCUGCUGAUUAUGCGCCAGGUUUGAUUUAAUCUUAAGUGGAUAGAGAUUUCGUGAAGAAUCAGGACACCCUCUGAAGUCUACAAAGAAUAAAUUGUAAUAUUGUGACUAUUUUAGACAAGAAGGAUGAAUCUGCUUUUGGGAAAAUGAACAAGAGAAAGUAGCUCUAGAUGAAAGACUCAAAGUUUAUAUAGACUGUCUUCUAGACAGUAAUAUGAAAGGUUGUGCUGGCACUUUCUUUCUGUCUUGCAGAUGUUUUAUUCUGUCUCUUUCCUGUUAUGUGCUCUACUAGAAGUAACUGGUUUCCUCCUUAGCUGAUGUGUGCUGGCAGUUAGAGAAGAAACAGAGCCAAUAUUUAUCCUAGUUCAAACAGUAGUUUUCCAGCUUCUCAUCUAAGACUUGAAAAAGAUGAGAAUAACAGCCUGAGUAUAAAACAACAUACAGAUCUUGAGUUUUUAAAACGCUUAUUUUCUUUACACUUGCGGAUCAAGAAUAGAUGAAAGAUGACUGCUAGCAGCUUAUUCCCAACAGUGCUUUGAUUUUUUUUUCUCUCAAUAACCUGUGUAACGUUUUCCUUCUGGAAAUGGAAAGAGACAAUUUCUCGAUCCCGUACGUACUGAACCAAAAGCCUGUUAAAAGAAGAUCUCUGUUCUUUAAUGCCCCUUGAUUUGUAGAUGUUUUUGUAGUUCCCAGGCAAUUACUUUCAAAUUUUUCCCAGACAUAAUUAUAUAAAUUACGACUGUAUGUUUAAUUUUUCAAAAUAUCCUGCUGCAGCCAAGAAGAAGAGUCAUAAAGAUAUUUAUUAAUUUGCAGUUGUACAUAUACAGUAGUUGCAUGAGAUUUAAAUAUGGAAAGAGAGCAGACAUUUUAAAUCAGAACUUUUUUAAAAAAAUAUUUUCAUUUAUGGCUUUGGUACAGUGGCCUGCUUCUUUUGAUGAAAUUAAUUCCUGUGGUGAAUGAUGUUAGUCUUCCUUGUCCUUUUUGCUUCUAGGACAACUCACAACUUUGUGGAACACUGUUAAUGUCAAAUCCAUCCAUUUGUGGUGUGUCUGAGCCCAAUCUAAGCUUUAAAGAUGCACAGGCAAUGGUUCUCAAGAUUCUUUUAAGCGUACAAGUUGCCACAGGCUCCAGCUUUCACUUCUGUUAAAACUUCUCUGUACAGUGUAUAUGUCCUUGGUUUAUUUCCUUCCAUCUUUUAUUUUUUGAUAUCUGUAGUUUUGUACAAUAUUUGUCAGAUACAGGCUUGUCGGUAGUAUAUAGCAGUGAUGUUAGUUCUUGUGUUUGUAAAUAAAGAGGUAUGUUUUAUUUCCUAAAGUU